The sequence is a ribosomal RNA, 803 nucleotides long. The stretch from base 230 to 384 matches the Rfam family "5.8S ribosomal RNA".
CCACACCUAAAAAACUUUCCACGUGAACAGUUUCAACCCAAUAGUUGGGGGUCUUAUUUGGCGGCGGCUGCUGGCUUAAUUGUUGGCGGCUGCUGCUGAGUGAGCCCUAUCAAAAAAAAGGCGAACGUUUGGGCUUCGGCCUGAUUUAGUAGUCUUUUUUUCUUUUAAACCCAUUCCUUAAUACUGAAUAUACUGUGGGGACGAAAGUCUCUGCUUUUAACUAGAUAGCAACUUUCAGCAGUGGAUGUCUAGGCUCGCACAUCGAUGAAGAACGCUGCGAACUGCGAUACGUAAUGCGAAUUGCAGGAUUCAGUGAGUCAUCGAAAUUUUGAACGCAUAUUGCACUUCCGGGUUAGUCCUGGAAGUAUGCCUGUAUCAGUGUCCGUACAUUAAACUUGACUUUCUUCCUUCCGUGUAGUCGGUGGAGGAGAUGUCAGAUGUGAAGUGUCUUGCGAUUGGUCUUCGGACCGGCUGCGAGUCCUUUUAAAUGUACUAAACUGAACUUCUCUUUGCUCGAAAAGUGGUGGCGUUGCUGGUUGUGAAGGCUGCUAUUGUGGCAAAUUGGCGACUGGUUUGUCUGCUGCGGCGUUAAUGGAAGAGUGUUCGAUUCGUGGUAUGGUUGGCUUCGGCUGAACAAUGCACUUAUUGGACGUUUUUCCUGCUGUGGCGUGAUGGACUGGUGAACCAUAGCUCGGUGGCUUGGCUUUUGAAUUGGCUUUGCUGUUGCGAAGUAGGGUGGCAGCUUCGGUUGUCGAGGGUCGAUCCAUUUGGGAACUUAAUGUGUACUUCGGUAUGCAUCUCAA